This 433-nucleotide ribosomal RNA is filed under the name uncultured bacterium. RNAcentral's name for it is "partial 16S ribosomal RNA". It matches the Rfam family "Bacterial small subunit ribosomal RNA", at positions 29 to 507 of the family's 1533-position model. The record is from RNAcentral.
AACGAACGCUGGCGGCAUGCCUAACACAUGCAAGUCGAACGAGACCUUCGGGUCUAGUGGCGCACGGGUGCGUAACGCGUGGGAACCUGCUCUUAGGUUCGGAAUAACUCCCCGAAAGGGGUGCUAAUACCGGAUAAUAUCUUCGGACCAAAGAUUUAUCGCCUUUGGAUGGGCCCGCGUUGGAUUUGCUAGUUGGUAGGGUAAAAGCCUACCAAGUCGAUGAUCCAUAGCUGGGAUGAGAGGAUGAUCAGCCACACUGGGACUGAGACACGGCCCAGACUCCUACGGGAGGCAGCAGUGGGGAAUAUUGGACAAUGGGCGAAAGCCUGAUCCAGCAAUGCCGCGUGAGUGAUGAAGGCCUGAGGGUUGUAAAGCUCUUUUACCCGGGAUGAUAAUGACAGUACCGGGAGAAUAAGCGCCGGCUAACUCCGUG